GGCAUCGGAGGUUCAUUGGCCAAAGCCCUCCCCCAUUCAUUGUGGGUGCGUGAGGCUCUUAGCCUUAACCUAAGGUGUUAAUUGUUUUGUAGGUGCAAAAUUGUCCAAGAUCAAGAAGGAAAAAAUUUGCAUCCACAAUACUCUUCUACAUAGCUCUUACAGAGAGAACUCAAAUCAAAAUUCAAGACAAUUCCUUAAAAGGAUAAAAUCAUAUCAAUAUUAAUACAUGUGUUAUAUAUAAAUGAACGAUAAAUUUAUACCUUAAAUUAUGAUAUUUAAUAUCAUUUACAUACUAUAUUAUGAUCCAAGCCUAUUAAUCAUAUUUACAUGGAAUAUCAAAAGAAGAUUCUCGACGAAUCUUUAAACCAUGCAAUAUCAAACUAUAACCUAGAGCUUUAUUUAUAAAAAAAAAAAACACUAUAAUCUAGAGCUAAUAUUAGGAAAAGUAGUGAAACAUAAACACGACUGAUUUUAUAUUAGGCUCAAUUAAGCAUGAUCUACCAUUAAUAUCAAUGAUAUUAUUCCAACUUCACUACCUAUUAAGUAUUGGGCUUUACCACAAAUAGUUUAAGUGUAUUAAGAGUGAAAAUUCUCAUAUAUUAUUGUAUAUUAUUUUAUUAUAUAAUCGAUGUGAUAUAAAUAUAAAAAUUGUGAUAAGUGCAGUACUACUAUUUGUUAUUUAAGUUGAGGUUUUCAAGUUUGUGUGGUCUGCAUGCUAAUGUUAUUGUCUUGUAGACCACCCUUUGAUUGUAACCUUUUUGACCUGACUGACCAUCUCUUGCCAUGGUCCAAGCUGCACACGCCAUACGAGACAAGGGAAUAUGAUGUGCUCAAUGAGAUCACUAUUUUGUUGUAUAAGCCCGUAAGCGCACAGGCUGUAGAAAAUCGUCAGUUCGUCAAAACUAAUGCUUUGAAGUUUCCAUGCUUAAAAGAAGUUCAUCACUAACUCCCAAUCUAAUAUGAAAUGAAAAAGUUAAUAAAACUAAAUAAAAAAACUUAUAAAGAAAUUGGCUUGGAAAUUGGAAAUUAUGAGGUUAGUAUUAGAGAAUGUGUAACAUAUGGUGUCUCAAAUAGCUAACUAAAUACAUACAUGUUUGUGUGAAAACUUAGCUAAGAGAGUAAACUAGUGCUAGGGUUUCAAAUGGAAAAUAAUCCUGAAAAAUACAUGUAAUUUAUUUUGGUACGUGAAAAGAUGCAGAUUUUGAUAUCAUAUGGCUUUACGAGCAUCUAGGUCGUGGGAAAACCGUGUGAACCUUAUUCUUGUGUGGCAAAAGCAGUUUCAAAACCUGAAUCUCUCAAGUGAAGGUUAAUUAAGAGGAUAAAGUCAACCUUGACAAUGCCAAGUUAUCGUAGGAUGAAGUUGCAAGUUGAGUUUGCAUUGGAUGCUCUCUCUGUAAUACAUUUUCUGCUUGCAUGAGCCAUGAAUUAUGGAUGAGAUGCUUGGUUUAUCAUUUGAAAGUUAUACAAUGAACACACGAGUGGAGCUAGAUACCAAAUUUGAAGCCCAGGUCAAUUUCCCAAUCGCAACAAGUUUUUUUCAGUUGUGAUACUAUAUAGCAAGCCGAAGGCUCAGAUGAUACCUUAUGUUAAGAUUUAUCCUUAGAUUAUUAGAUCAAUCCUAAACUGUUUUUCUGCAUAAAUAGUUUAAGGGAGGGUGUUAAGAUUUAUCCUUAGAUUAUUUAUUUUCAAUAAAGUGGUUACAUGUAGUUAGGAGACUUGUUUACCUAGUCUACAGGAGAAUCCCUAAGUUGUAGGAGUCGUGGUAUGUAGUUCCACAAAAUCUGCAAAGUGGACGUGAUGUUGCUUGCAGCAAUAGACUUGUUUGCUUAUUUAAUUUGUAAUUUUCUCAUUCAAGUCAGUUAAUGAAAUUCAGAGCUUCUCAGCCAUCUCUUUAGCAGCAAGCUUAAGUUUACAGUUUUCAAAAAGUUUAACCAACAUUUGGUACCAGAGCCCCCACUGGGCCUGUGUCGAGAAUCUCUCAUAGAAGCAACAACUUUUUCAUUCUUGCAGUAGCAAGCAUCCAUGGCGUCUGACAAGCCAGCAGAGAAUUUCGUUCAACCAGCCAUUCCUCGCUUCGACGGUCACUACGAUCAUUGGAGCAUGUUGAUGGAGAAUUUUCUAAGGUCCAAAGAGUACUGGGAUCUUGUGGAAACGGGAUAUACUGUACCCGAAGAAAGUACGCUUACGACUGCGCAACAACGUAAGCUUGAAGAACUGAAGCUGAAGGAUCUGAAGGUAAAGAAUUACCUAUUCCAAUCAAUUGAUCGUGCUAUUUUGGAGACUAUUCUCCAGAAGGAUACUUCCAAGCACAUUUGGGACUCCAUGAAGAGAAAGUACCAAGGGUCAGCAAGAGUGAAGCGUGCACAGCUUCAGGCCCUGAGACGAGACUUUGAGACUCUCCAAAUGAAGAAUGGAGAGUCUAUCACCGAGUAUUUUGCAAGGACCAUGGGGAUUGCAAACAAAAUGCGAAUCCAUGGUGACAAGCUUGAUGAUGGCUCCAUUGUAAAGAAGAUCCUGAGAUCUAUGGCUCCAAAGUUCAACUACAUCGUUUGCUCUAUUGAAAAGUCAAAUGACACUGCAGAGAUGUCGAUUGAUGAGCUUCAAAGCUCAUUGUUGGUCCAUGAGCAGCAGCUGAACCGUGGGAUCACAGAACGUGUCAACUUAGAAGAACAAGCUCUGAAAGCUUCUACCUUUUUUAAAUCCUCAAGCUUAAAAGGAAGAGGCCGAGGUAGAGGUAGAGGUAGAGGAAGAGGUCGAGGUGGUCGAGGCAACCGAGAUGGAGACAGACAACACCAAAGUUCCAAGAGACAUGAUGAUCAUUCUCAGAAUAGAGGCACAGGACAAGUUGACAAGUCCAACAUCGAGUGCUAUAGGUGUGGAAACCUUGGGCAUUAUCGCAAUGAAUGCUACACGAAGCUGCCAAAAGACAAAGAGAAAGGAGAGAAGUCCAACUUUGCUGAAAAGAAGGAUGAUGAGACACUGUUAAUGGCUUUCCACGUCAAGGAGGAGAUUGAUUCUAAAGUAUGGGAUGUUGACACAGGUUGCAGCAAUCAUAUGAGUGGUUGUAAGUCAUCUUUCUCAUUUCUGGAUGAAAACUUUCGAACUACCUUAAGCUUUGGGGAUUGGUCAAGUGUUAAUGUGAUGGGAAAGGGUGAUAUUCAAAUUAGGACUAAGAAUGAUUUUGUUGAAACGAUUUCGAAUGUGUUUUAUGUGCCUAGUUUGAAAACAAAUUUGUUGAGUGUUGGACAGUUACAAGAAAAGGGUUAUAUAAUAACUCUUCAGAAAGAUGCAUGUGAGAUAUCUGAUCCAGUAAGGGGCGCCAUUGCUGUUGUUCAAAUGAGCCAAAACAGAUUGUUUCUGCUGAAGAUCAAAACUGUCCAAACUUGUUUGAUGGCUAAGGAAGACGACUCAUCAUGGUUGUGGCACCUUCGAUAUGACCAUUUGAAUUUCAAUGGCUUGAGGACACUGCAUCAGAAGCAAAUGGUGACUGGCCUUCCCAUGAUCACACCUCCAUCUGAAGUCUGCGAAGAAUGUGUUGUUAGCAAACAACAUCGUGAUCCAUUUCCAAAAGGAAAGACAUGGAGAGCACAAACCUAUUGGAGCUAGUGCAUUCAGACAUAUAUGGUCCAAUCACUCAAAUAUCGAAUGGUAAAAAGAAAUAUUUUAUUUCUUUUAUUGAUGACUUCAGUAUAAAGGCUUGGGUGUAUUUUUUGCAGGAAAAAUCAGAGGCUUUUAAUGCAUUUAAAAGCUUCAAGGCACUAGUUGAGAACGAAAGUGGAAGAAGGAUCAAAACCUUGCGAACUGAUCAUGGUGGUGAAUAUUGCUCAAAAGAGUUUGAAGUCUUCUGUGAUGAGCAAGGGAUUUGAAGGCAACUCACUGCUUCAUAUACACCCCAGCAAAAUGGUGUAUCCGAGAGGAAAAACCGAACCAUUCUCAACAUGGUCAGAAGCUUGCUAGUAAAGGGAGGAGUUCCUAAAAGUUUUUGGCCUGAAACAGUUUUGUGGUCCAUUCAUGUUUUGAACAGGUGCCCUACCUUUUCUGUAAAAAACAAGACACCCGAGAAAGCUUGGAGUGGACGGAAACCCUCAGUGGAUCACUUUAAAGUGUUUGGGUGCAUAGCAUAUGCACACAUUCCAGACGAAAAGAGGAAGAAGCUCGACGACAAAGGUGCAAAAUGUGUCUUUCUUGGAGUUAGUGAACACUCCAAAGCCUACAAAUUGUACAACCCAACUACUGAGAAGGUGAUUACCAGCAGAGAUGUGGUUUUUUAUGAAGAAAAGACUUGGGUUUGGUCUGGAAAAGGCAAACAGUAGCAGAAAAUUCCAGCUAAUGAUCAACCUGCAGAUGAUCAGCCACCUCAAAUUCAACGUCUAAGGAAGAGACCAUCUUGGAUGAUUGAUUAUGUAAGUGGAGAUGAACUCUCUGAUGAAGAUACUACUGCACACUUUGCUUUGUUUGUAGAUUCUACCCCUCUUACUUUUGAGGAAACAGUUGAGGACUUAAAAUGGCAAAACGCAAUGAAUUCUGAAAUUAAGUCCUUUGAGAAAAAUAAUACAUGGGAGCUUACUGAUUUGCCUAAAGGUCAGAAGACCAUUGGUUUGAAGUGGGUUUUCAAAACCAAACUGAAUGAGAAAGGUGAUGUGGACAAGCAUAAGGCCCGUUUGGUAGCAAAAGGAUAUAAGCAAGAAUAUGGUGUCGAUUACAAAGAAGUGUUUGCCCCAGUUGCAAGGCAAGACACAAUUCGUUUAGUAAUCUCUAGCUGCUCAAAACUCCUAGCCUAUUUUCCAAUUAGAUGUAAAAUCUGCCUUUUUACAUGGUGAAUUGCAAGAACAAGUGUUUGUCGAUCAACCUCCAGGCUAUGUGCAGCAAGGUGAAGAGAAGAAGGUUUUGAGGUUGAAGAAGGCACUCUAUGGGCUGAAACAAGCACCAUGAGCUUGGUAUAGCCGCAUAGAUGCAUACUUUAUCAAACAAGGCUUCCAAAAGUGUCCAUAUGAGCAUACUUUGUACGUUAAGGUUGGUGAUGAAGGUAAGAUGCUCAUCAUAUGCCUUUAUGUUGAUGAUCUAAUUUAUACUGGAAGUGGUGUUGAUAUGUAUGAUGAUUUUAAGAAGUCUAUGAUGAAAGAAUUUGAUAUGAGUGACUUAGGACUGAUGCACUACUUUCUUGGCAUAGAAGUAGUACAAUCGGCAACUGGUAUUUUUAUUUGUCAAAAGAAAUAUAUUCUUGAAAUAUUGGAAAGGUUUCAUAUGUUGAACUGCAAUCCAGUUGGAACUCCAGCAGAGGUAGGAUUAAAGUUGAGUAAAGAUCUUGAUGGGGAAAGGAUUGACAACACUUAUUUCAAACAGAUAGUUGGAAGUUUGAUGUAUCUAACUUCCACGAGGCCUGAUAUCAUGCAUUCUGUAAGUGUGAUAAGUCGAUAUAUGGAGAAUCCCACUGAGAUGCAUCUCAGGGCAGCCAAGAGAGUUUUUCGUUACUUGAAAGGCACAACAUAUUUUCGGAUUUUUUAUAAGAAAGGAAGAAAGUCAAGUUUCCUUGGUUUUACUGACAGUGAUUACGCAGGUGAUAUUGAUGAUCGUAAAAGCACUUUUGGAAAUGUGUUUUUAAUGAGUUCAGGUGCAAUUUCAUGGUCCUCUAAGAAGCAGCAAAUUGUGACAUUAUCCACAACUGAAGCUGAGUUCGUGGUAGCUGCAUCAUGUUCCUGUCAAGCCAUUUGGUUGAGAAGAAUGCUAGAGGUUCUUGGUAACCAGCAACAAGAUUCAACAACAAUUUAUUGUGAUAAUGUUUCAGCAAUCAAGCUUUCCAGGAAUCCAGUUAUGCAUGGAAAAAGCAAACAUAUUGAUGUUAGAUACCAUUUCUUGCGUGAUCUAUGCAAAGAUGGUGUGAUUGAGUUGCAGUUCUAUAAGAGUGAAGAUCAAGUUGCUGAUCUCAUGACAAAACCUCUCAAACAACCAGCAUUCGAGAAGCUCAGAAGUAUGCUUGGAGUUUGUUCAAGGGAGGGACUCGCACAGGAGUGAAGUAAAGAUGAAGAUCAAUCCUAAACUGUUUUUCUGCAGAAAUCAGUUUAAGGGAGGGUGUUAAGAUUUAUCCUUAGAUUAUUAGAUCAAUCCUAAACUAUUUUUCUGCAGAAAUAGUUUAAGGGAGGUUGUUAAGAUUUAUCCUUAGAUUAUUUAUUUUCAAUAAAGUGGUUACAUGUAGUUAGGAGACUUGUUUACCUAGUCUACAGGAGAAUCCCUAAGUUGUAGGAGUCGUGGUAUGUAGUUCCACAAAAUCUGCAAAGUGGACGUGAUGUUGCUUGCAGCAAUAGACUUGUUUGCUUAUUUAAUUUGUAAUUUUCUCAUUCAAGUCAGUUAAUGAAAUUUAGAGCUUCUUAGCCAUCUCUUUAGCAGCAAGCUUAAGUUUACAGUUUUCAAAAAGUUUAACCAACACCUUAGGCCCUAAUAGUUGACCUAGGUACAUUUAUUCAUGUUUAAUGACGAGAUGACACACAAAAUGAAGUCGUGAUGCAAAAUUGACUUUUUUUAAGUGAAAUUGUUCUUAGGAAACUAACCCUUUUAAUAUGGAAAGGGGCUAUUAUACAUUCAUUUGUAUAGGUCUACAGGGAUUGGACCCAUUUAUAAAUGAAACGGAAGAAAAACAGAGC
RNAcentral lists this long non-coding RNA (6638 nucleotides) under Malus domestica (apple). Its description in RNAcentral is "long non-coding RNA (MDOM_LNC012197)". The record is from RNAcentral. Lineage: Eukaryota; Viridiplantae; Streptophyta; Magnoliopsida; Rosales; Rosaceae.